AACAUAACAGAUCUUAGGUUUUUAAUAAAACAUUCAUUAAUGACCUCAACGUACAAUCAUAUCCUUUUCACAUGCCCGUUGACACGUUUUUCAACCCGCCCUGGAAGUUCAUGAGUUAGAUAAGCCUUUCCCGGUGGAGCUAAUAAUAGAGCUGCGACCAAGCGCUAAAGCCGGUUUUUUUUCUAAUGAAUGAACCAGGAGUUCUUCCCAGUGAAAACGAAUUGAGUUAGGAUUGCGCAAAAGGAAAGGAGACCCAGAAGUCAAGGCAAGAACUCCAGCUUUAUAACUCGGCUGCUUUAUCCGUCGAAACGAAAAUCUAUAAGAUAAGAAAAGGAGCUGGCUUUGAACUUCGUCUAGGCGUGGCCUUCAGCGACAGCAGUGUAGGCGUGGACCGACCAAGGCCUUCAGCGACUGCA
This 416-nucleotide unclassified non-coding RNA is filed under the name Hevea brasiliensis (rubber tree). Lineage: Eukaryota; Viridiplantae; Streptophyta; Magnoliopsida; Malpighiales; Euphorbiaceae. The record is from RNAcentral.